AUUCAAAUAGCUUAACUUAAAGCGUGAUAUUGAAGAUAUCAAGAUAGAUUUAAUCUUUUGAAUA
This 64-nucleotide transfer RNA is filed under the name Phymata americana. RNAcentral describes it as "tRNA-Phe". The record is from RNAcentral. Lineage: Eukaryota; Metazoa; Arthropoda; Insecta; Hemiptera; Phymatidae.